This 221-nucleotide long non-coding RNA is filed under the name Theobroma cacao (cacao). RNAcentral's name for it is "long non-coding RNA (TCAC_LNC003064)". The record is from RNAcentral. Lineage: Eukaryota; Viridiplantae; Streptophyta; Magnoliopsida; Malvales; Malvaceae.
AGGGGUGGAAAGGAGGGUGGUGAGAUUAUAUAAUCCCAGUGAGUAAACAAAUACCAUCUAAAAUAUCUAAAGCUGAGUAAAUGGAGACAGAUAAAAUAAUUUAACAUACUGUAAUUCAUCACAUUUCAACUCAUUUCAACCAAAUAAAAUCAAUUCAUAUAAAUCGAGUAAUCAAUAUGGCUUAUGAAUUUCUUAAAACUUUGGCUCGUGCCAAAAUCAUU